This 497-nucleotide ribosomal RNA is filed under the name uncultured bacterium. RNAcentral's name for it is "partial 16S ribosomal RNA". It matches the Rfam family "Bacterial small subunit ribosomal RNA", at positions 28 to 507 of the family's 1533-position model. The record is from RNAcentral.
GACGAACGCUGGCGGCGUGCCUAAUACAUGCAAGUUGAGCGCUGAAGGUUGGUACUUGUACCAACUGGAUGAGCAGCGAACGGGUGAGUAACGCGUGGGGAAUCUGCCUUUGAGCGGGGGACAACAUUUGGAAACGAAUGCUAAUACCGCAUAAAAACUUUAAACACAAGUUUUAAGUUUGAAAGAUGCAAUUGCAUCACUCAAAGAUGAUCCCGCGUUGUAUUAGCUAGUUGGUGAGGUAAAGGCUCACCAAGGCGAUGAUACAUAGCCGACCUGAGAGGGUGAUCGGCCACAGUGGGACUGAGGCACGGCCCAAACUCCUACGGGAGGCAGCAGUAGGGAAUCUUCGGCAAUGGACGAAAGGCUGACCGAGCAACGCCGCGUGAGUGAAGAAGGUUUUCGGAUCGUAAAACUCUGUUGGUAGAGAAGAACGUUGGUGAGAGUGGAAAGCUCAUCAAGUGACGGUAACUACCCAGAAAGGGACGGCUAACUACGUG